AACCAUAGAAACCUGCGGAGUACCUGCGGAAGGAUCAUUACCGAGUUUACAACUCCCAAACCCCUGUGAACAUACCUAUACGUUGCCUCGGCGGAUCAGCCCGCGCCCCGUAAAAAGGGACGGCCCGCCCGAGGACCCCUAAACUCUGUUUUUAGUGGAACUUCUGAGUAAAACAAACAAAUAAAUCAAAACUUUUAGCAAUGGAUCU
RNAcentral lists this unclassified non-coding RNA (208 nucleotides) under soil metagenome. RNAcentral's name for it is "partial contains 5.8S ribosomal RNA, internal transcribed spacer 2, and large subunit ribosomal RNA". The record is from RNAcentral.